GGAAUAUUGGACAAUGGGUGAAAGCCUGAUCCAGCCAUCCCGCGUGAAGGAUGACGGUCCUAUGGAUUGUAAACUUCUUUUGUAUAGGGAUAAACCUAGAUACGUGUAUCUAGCUGAAGGUACUAUACGAAUAAGCACCGGCUAACUCCGUGCCAGCAGCCGCGGUAAUACGGAGGGUGCAAGCGUUAUCCGGAUUUAUUGGGUUUAAAGGGUCCGUAGGCGGACCGAUAAGUCAGUGGUGAAAUCUCAUAGCUUAACUAUGAAACUGCCAUUGAUACUGUCGGUCUUGAGUAAAUUUGAAGUGGCUGGAAUAAGUAGUGUAGCGGUGAAAUGCAUAGAUAUUACUUAGAACACCAAUUGCGAAGGCAGGUCACUAAGAUUUAACUGACGCUGAUGGACGAAAGCGUGGGUAGCGAACAGGAUUAGAUACCCUGG
This 435-nucleotide ribosomal RNA is filed under the name uncultured Chryseobacterium sp. RNAcentral's name for it is "bacterial SSU rRNA". It matches the Rfam family "Bacterial small subunit ribosomal RNA", at positions 358 to 790 of the family's 1533-position model. Lineage: Bacteria; Pseudomonadati; Bacteroidota; Flavobacteriia; Flavobacteriales; Weeksellaceae. The record is from RNAcentral.